GGAAUAUUGCACAAUGGGCGAAAGCCUGAUGCAGCGACGCCGCGUGGGGGAUGAAGGUCUUCGGAUCGUAAACCCCUGUUAAGAGGGAAGAAAAGCUUGCGAGUACUAUGCUCAAGUGUUGACAGUACCUCUAGAGACAGCCCCGGCCAACUUCGUGCCAGCAGCCGCGGUAAUAAGAAGGGGGCAAGCGUGAUUCGGAAUUACUGGGCGUAAAGAGCGCGUAGGUGGUUUUUUAAGUCAGUUGUUAAAUAUCACAGCUUAACUGUGAAGGUGCGAUUGAAACUGAAAGACUAGAGGGCAGAAGAGAGAAGUGGAAUUCUCGGAGUAGCGGUAAAAUGCGUAGAUCUCGAGAGGAACACCAACAGCGAAGGCAGCUUCUUGGUCUGUCCCUGACACUCAAGUGCGAAAGCGUGGGGAGCAAA
This 422-nucleotide ribosomal RNA is filed under the name uncultured bacterium. Its description in RNAcentral is "bacterial SSU rRNA". It matches the Rfam family "Bacterial small subunit ribosomal RNA", at positions 358 to 772 of the family's 1533-position model. The record is from RNAcentral.